UGUCCGUUUUCUUCCAUCCGGU
Molecule: non-coding RNA, 22 nt
Filed under: Arabidopsis thaliana (thale cress)
Lineage: Eukaryota; Viridiplantae; Streptophyta; Magnoliopsida; Brassicales; Brassicaceae
Source: RNAcentral